This 1009-nucleotide ribosomal RNA is filed under the name Metarhizium fusoideum. Its description in RNAcentral is "SSU rRNA". It matches the Rfam family "Eukaryotic small subunit ribosomal RNA", at positions 88 to 1105 of the family's 1831-position model. The record is from RNAcentral. Lineage: Eukaryota; Fungi; Ascomycota; Sordariomycetes; Hypocreales; Clavicipitaceae.
UGCGAAUGGCUCAUUAUAUAAGUUAUCGUUUAUUUGAUAGUACCUUACUACUUGGAUAACCGUGGUAAUUCUAGAGCUAAUACAUGCUAAAAAUCCCGACUUCGGAAGGGAUGUAUUUAUUAGAUUAAAAACCAAUGCCCCCCGGGGCUCUCUGGUGAUUCAUGAUAACUUCUCGAAUCGCACGGCCUUGCGCCGGCGAUGGUUCAUUCAAAUUUCUUCCCUAUCAACUUUCGAUGUUUGGGUAGUGGCCAAACAUGGUUGCAACGGGUAACGGAGGGUUAGGGCUCGACCCCGGAGAAGGAGCCUGAGAAACGGCUACUACAUCCAAGGAAGGCAGCAGGCGCGCAAAUUACCCAAUCCCGAUUCGGGGAGGUAGUGACAAUAAAUACUGAUACAGGGCUCUUUCGGGUCUUGUAAUUGGAAUGAGUACAAUUUAAAUCCCUUAACGAGGAACAAUUGGAGGGCAAGUCUGGUGCCAGCAGCCGCGGUAAUUCCAGCUCCAAUAGCGUAUAUUAAAGUUGUUGUGGUUAAAAAGCUCGUAGUUGAACCUUGGGCCUGGCUGGCCGGUCCGCCUCACCGCGUGUCACUGGUCCGGCCGGGUCUUUCCCUCUGUGGAACCACAUGCCCUUCACUGGGCGUGGCGGGGAAACAGGACUUUUACUUUGAAAAAAUUAGAGUGCUCCAGGCAGGCCUAUGCUCGAAUACAUUAGCAUGGAAUAAUGAAAUAGGACGUGCGGUUCUAUUUUGUUGGUUUCUAGGACCGCCGUAAUGAUUAAUAGGGACAGUCGGGGGCAUCAGUAUUCAAUUGUCAGAGGUGAAAUUCUUGGAUUUAUUGAAGACUAACUACUGCGAAAGCAUUUGCCAAGGAUGUUUUCAUUAAUCAGGAACGAAAGUUAGGGGAUCGAAGACGAUCAGAUACCGUCGUAGUCUUAACCAUAAACUAUGCCGACUAGGGAUCGGACGAUGUUAUUUAGUUGACUCGUUCGGCACCUUACGAGAAAUCAAAGUG